AAAGAAACUAACAAGGAUUUUCUUAGUAGCGGCGAGCGAAAAGAAAUCAGUUCAGCACUAAGUCACUUUGUCUAUAUGGCAAAUGUGAGAUGCAGUGUAUGGAACAUCAAUAUUCUAGUAUGAGAAAUUAACGAUUUAAGUCCUUCUUAAAUGAGGCCAUUUACCCAUAGAGGGUGCCAGGCCCGUAUAACGUUAAUGAUUACUAGAUGGUGUUUCCAAAGAGUCGUGUUGCUUGAUAGUGCAGCACUAAGUGGGUGGUAAACUCCAUCUAAAACUAAAUAUAACCAUGAGACCGAUAGUAAACAAGUACCGUGAGGGAAAGUUGAAAAGAACUCUGAAUAGAGAGUUAAAUAGUACGUGAAACUGCUUAGAGGUUAAGCCCGAUGAACCUGAAUAUCCAUUAUGGAAAAUUCAUCAUUAGAAUUGUAAUAUUUAAUCAAUAUUAUAAUAAUAGUGUGCAUUUUUUCCAUAUAAGGACAUUGUAAUCUAUUAGCAUAUCAAUUUAUCAAAAAAUUAUAACUUAUUGUUUAUUUGAAUUAAUGUGCUUGCAUGUUAACAUAAAAUAAAUGUUGUAAAUUUGAUAAAGUGUUGAUAGAUUAAUAAAAAUACGGUGCGUUAAUUUUACGGAAUUAUAUAAUGGCAUAAUUAUCAUUGAUUUUUAUGUUUAUUAUAAGCACUUGUAUGAUUAACAAUGCGAAAGAUUCAGGAUACCUUCGGGACCCGUCUUGAAACACGGACCAAGGAGUCUAACAUAUGUGCAAGUUAUUGGGAUAUAAACCUAAUAGCGUAAUUAACUUGACUAUUAAUGGGAUUAGUUUUUUAACUAUUUAUAGCUAAUUAACACAAUCCCGGGGCG
Molecule: ribosomal RNA, 856 nt
Filed under: Dichaetophora lindae
Lineage: Eukaryota; Metazoa; Arthropoda; Insecta; Diptera; Drosophilidae
Description: eukaryotic LSU rRNA
Rfam family: Eukaryotic large subunit ribosomal RNA
Source: RNAcentral